GAGAAGACCACGAGUUAUGAUCCAGAGUACCACGAGACACGUGAAACCUUGUGGGAAGCAGGGAGGACCACCUCCCAAGGCUAAAUACUACCUGAUGACCGAUAGUGAAGCAGUACCGUGAGGGAAAGGUGAAAAGAACCCCGGGAGGGGAGUGAAAUAGAACCUGAAACCGUGUGCCUACAACCGCUCAGAGCCCCUUAUGAGGGUGAUGAGGUGCUUUUUGUAGAACGAGCCAACGAGUUACGGUAUGUAGCAAGGUUAAGUACUUAAGGUACGGAGCCGAAGGGAAACCGAGUCUGAAUAGGGCGACUAGUUGCAUGCCGUAGACCCGAAACCGGGUGACCUAUCCAUGGCCAGGUUGAAGCGAGGGUAAAACCUCGUGGAGGACCGAACCACGUUGCUGUUGAAAAAGCAUGGGAUGAGCUGUGGAUAGCGGAGAAAUUCCAAUCGAACCCGGAGAUAGCUGGUUCUCUCCGAAAUAGCUUUAGGGCUAGCGUCGAGUAUGAGUAGUGGAGGUAGAGCACUGAAUGGGCUAGGGGGCAUAGCGCUUACCGAACCUUAUCAAACUCCGAAUGCCACAUACUUUGAGCUCGGCAGUCAGACUACGAAUGAUAAGAUCCGUGGUCAAAAGGGAAACAGCCCAGAUCGUCAGCUAAGGUCCCAAAGUGUAAGUUAAGUGGGAAAGGAUGUGAGAUUUCUAAGACAACUAGGAUGUUGGCUUAGAAGCAGCCAUUCAUUAAAAGAGUGCGUAAUAGCUCACUAGUCGAGAGAUCUUGCGCCGAAAAUGUAACGGGGCUAAACUUACC
Molecule: ribosomal RNA, 806 nt
Filed under: Clostridium perfringens
Lineage: Bacteria; Bacillati; Bacillota; Clostridia; Eubacteriales; Clostridiaceae
Description: partial 23S ribosomal RNA
Rfam family: Bacterial large subunit ribosomal RNA
Source: RNAcentral